GCUUGAUUAAUUAAAGAUGCAUAGAAACCCCUGUGAGGUGCCCAUAAAUUCCUAUGAUAAAGAUCACUAGAUAUAAAAUUACUGACUAAGAGAUUAUGUUUCACUAUACCAUAUUGUCAUAUAUACAUGUGGUAUUAUGAAUAAUGAAAAAAUGUAAGCAAUUAUUGAUCGAUUUGAAUGUUCCCCCUUUUGGUACCCCUUAUUGGCAGGAACAAUUUCUCCCUGACAUUGGGAAGUGUAAUACACAGAAUUGACAGGAAUUACCACCACAAUAAGAUCACAAUUGGUUUCCAUAGUGAAAUGUACAAGCUAGGUUGCACAUUUCUACAAUAGUUGGGGAAAUAUAUAUGUGUAUUUUUUCCACCUACAUUUUUUCUGUGUAUAAUUUAGUGGUGUACAGGCAAUGACCAGUGAAAGUGUAUAUUGAUUGUACAAACCAGCAGAUUUUAUGUUAAUUUUAUGUCAAGAUUACUGUAUUUUAUAUAUCUAUGGAUUAAUAUUUCAUUGGUAAGUUCUUCUUGUUAAGAUUACCUCUGUAAAAUUUGAUGAGAGCACCAAUUAUUUUGGCUGUGUGUUAAAAAUAACACAAAAUGUGUAACUAUUGAUUGAUCUGUUAUCUUGUAACAGGUUUUCCUAUUCUAAUGAGAUUGACAACUCACAGAAAACUUGUUUUAUCUACUUAAUUCCUUACGAAAAUUAAAAUAUUAAUUUUGAUAUUUGACAAGGAACAAGGAACAUUUAUUGAGUAGGAUAAUAAUUUACAUGUUUAAAAACAAGAUUGAUUUACGAUUUAACUUAGCUGAUUAAUCUAAUUGUAAUACAAAAGCAUGUUUUUGUCAACUCAAGUUGUAAUAGAUAAUGGGUGUUAGCUGUUAAAUCAGUAUUAUUUAAACACUUUAGCUGCCUGUAGUAUCUCACAAAGAUUGAAUAAUCAAUCAAAUAAUUAUCACAAACUGAUUAACAUAAAACUUAAGUCCUUGAUGGUAACAGGUGUCACAAAUCUUUUUUAAUAUUGUAGUAAGGUAUAGUUUUCUCAUAGUGACUGUAUAUAGAAAGUUUGUCGUCAUCCAUCAUUAACACCUUUGUUUCCUAGUGUGUAAACAAGUGAUGUCCUUGUUAUGAAUUUCACAGUAUUUUAAAGAUCAGAUUUCAGAAAUCAGUGACCAAUUUAAAGAUUUUCUGUCGAUCAACCUAUAGAUAUUUACUUCGGAAUAUUCAUGCAAGAAUAGUUUGCUUUGUCAGCGGAAUAAGACUUCUUUCCAUAGUAUUUCGACGAAAUACUAUUUAAUUUAUUUAAGGUUGGCAUUUAAAUUUGAUCCUACAGUAUGGAUUAAUUUGGUCAUUCAUAAAAUGCAUUCCGUCAUUGUGUCAAUAUUUGUACAGUAUGAUCUCCUGGAGGGGAGAAGUUGAACUUAAAUUAUAUAAUUUAUGAUCAUCAGUAAUCUCCCUUUGACAGAAAAGAAAAAAAUAUGGCUUCCUUGGAAUUAAACUUUGAUUAUCUUGGAAUUUAAAAUCACUGGACUAUAGGUUUAUCAUUCUGUAACCAUCUAUCCAGGUAAAAUAUACUCACAUUUAAUUUAGGGAAAGGUAAAUAUACAUUUUUCUUUCACAAAUGCAUAAACAGCUGGGAUGUGUAUGUACAUAAAUUUUCUAUUUUCAAUAUAUUCUUACACUUAGGAAUAUCUUGAUUGUGAAAAGUAACCAUGCAUUGAUUUUAUAUCAUAAUUGUUCUAAUUAUGGACCUUAUGAAACCUAACUGUAGUUGAGUAGAAAUACUUGGCAUUUUGUGUAAGUUGUAUACCUUAUUAGCCAGAGAUCUUAUCCUUCAGCUGUAUAUAAUGUGUAUUCUUGGGAUUAAAGAAAACAAACAAACUUGGAAUAAAACAGAUGGUUUUAGAUUUAUUUGAUGGGUUUAGAUGUAAAGUAAAGGUUAACCAGUCAUGUUUAUAUAUACAAAUGUAUAAGACAAAUUAGUGGUAAAAUCCAUGAAAAUGUCAUGGUUUUUCAUGUCAAUAUUUAAACAGAAUUUCGCAAUCUUACAGAGAGAUAUUUUAGUGUGGCAGCCCCCUCCCCCUUUAUGGAGCUACAUAAAUGUUUAAACUGUAUAGAUAUGUCACAGGUUCAACUCCUUAUGUUGCCUAGUUUAACAACCUCAAAACCCUUUCACACACACACACACCCUUUUCCCCCCUUAAAACCUUAACCAAUGGGGAGAUCUUACCUACACCAUGAUAUUAAGGUUAACGCAUAACAAUAGCUCAAAUAGUCCUCAAUGGGGAGAGCAUCCACAUUGUACCAUUAAAAAGAUGAAAUAACUUCAUGGUUGUCUGACCAAAUGGCUAGUGUUUUAUAAACAGGGCUAGGGUCAGUUGAUUUUGUGUCUUCUUAAAACAAAUUCAGGACAUAUAUAUUUUCUGGACUGAUCUUGAUCAAAUGAACUUACAGAAAUAAAGUUAUCAAUGACUUGAAACAGCUGAUAAUAAGUAUAACUAUAACUAUAAGAAAAGAGAGAAAUGUAUCUUUGGAAAGUAGCCAUUAUGCCAGUGGCUAUAGAUGAAGGAGAAACUUUGAUGGUGAUAUUGUCACUUUGUAAGAAAUAGUAUGAUGGGGAAAGUUGUUGUUUAUUGACAUUAAUCAUGUAAAUAAAGGUGUUAAAAAAAGAGAAGGAAAACAGUUCAAAAUGAUUUGAAUAAAAAGUUUUUAAAGUAGUUUAUCAAAAGAGUAGAUUAAAGUUCACCUAGGUCUAAAAUUUGAAGUCUAAGACUUGUGUUUACCAUGAUAUUUAUAGGCCAUUUGUUGUAAUUUUAAUGCUUGAAGGAGGUUGUUAUCAUUGGUGUUAGCAUAUCAUGUUUUAGGAUAAUUGGAGUAAGUGGAAUGUUUCUUAGGAAAAUAACUGAUUACUUUUAAUUGAUAAGACAAGUUUGUUGUUGAUCAUUAAAAUUUUAAUUUUUUUAUAUUUUUUAGUAUCUUUCAAUUCAAUGCAGAAAUAAAUGUCUCAUAUCAAUUUAGCAUUAAGUGUAAUGUUGAUAAGCUCUUGUUUAAAUUAUAUAAGUUUCUAUACUUGAUGUAUGACUAAACACAAUUGUGCAAUACCUCCUCCUACAAAUAAUGAAUAAGUCCAUUGCAAUGUACAUGCAUCUUCAGCGAUCAAAAUGUAAUACAUUCUCAUUUUAUGUAACGUUCGUUUCUGAGAUAUUAUAAGUAUUAAGGACAACAAUAUUUGGUGUUGAAUGAUUGUAAAAUAUACAUUUUCCUCUAUUAGGGUUUAUAUAAUAACCUUGACCUCAUUUUCAUAGUUCAUUGGUCAAAACCUUAAGUUCCAGUGGUUAGAUGUGUUUCUCUGAUACUAUGAGCAAACAAUCAGGUAACAAGAUCAAGUAUAUUUGGUGCAAGGAAUGGUGCCAUGGUGUCCAUGUUGGUCUGGUAUGGUAAUCCCUUCAUCUGACCUUGACCUCAUUUUCAAUUGACAAUAUUGAGUUAAAACAGAGUUCUGGAAAUCUUUUCCCUCUGAUGUUCCUUGAAGAAAAUCUGCUGGUUCUCGAUAGUGUUUCUAUUACAAAAUACCAAAAAUGUGUUGGUCCUUUGUAAAAGUUUGGUGGUCAAAACAUUCAGACCACCACUUUGGUUUAAAACCUCUACCUGAAAUAGUUUUAACAUAAAAUAUUCCAUUAUGAUCAAUUAAACAGACAAUUCAGUGGGUACACUCUUGUAUUAUUUUUGUUGUAUUCAAUUUUUUUGAGUGAUACCACAAAUUUAUUCAUUAACAAAGAUGAUGCAUUUAAUUAAUCAGUUUUGACAGUCAAUUGAGAUGUCUAUGUUGAAGUCUAUAGAAAAUGAAACAAAAUUGCAAAAUGCAAUCUGUUACUUGACUAGAAAGGAAAAUGACUGGACUUAUGGGAAUGAGUCACACUGUCACUGGUAUGAUUGCCAAUGAGACAACUAUCUAUUAGGACAAAGAAUGUAAAAACUAUAGGUCACCAUACAGCAUUCAACAAUGAGCAAAUCCCAUACCUCAUAUUAAGCAAUAAAAAUAUGCAUUACAAAAAAACUAAAACAAUGACUGUUUAGUAUAAGAUUUGUCUAUAGAUGAUUACCUACAUUCCUCCCUAAUUACAGGAAAGAUUUGUUCUAUUUGAUGAGGAAGAUAACAUAGACUACUACUCAACCUUUGAUUAGGGUUGUGAUGUUGUUUCUGUUUUGUCAAGGGUGACAUGAUUUGAUGCAUAUCAGUUUAUGUAGCUUCUGUUGGAGGGGGUGUUAGAUAUGUAUUGCACAGGCAUUAUUUUACCAUUGUUAGGUUAAGUUCUUCUAAUAUUUGAAAUGUCUUGAAAGGCGUUGUGGAACUUAAGAUCACACAGCUAUCUGGCAUUUUUUUCCUUUUUAUCUUUCUGUCCAAUUUUCCAGGUUAAACUGAAAUAUCGAUAUAUGUACAAAGUUUGAAAUAUAACCCAUGUUUUUAGAUCUGCAAAUUUUUGUCAGAUAAUUUUUUUCUACCUGCAUAGAGAUUAGAAUCACUGCUUUUGUAACAUUGUGGUACAUUACUGCCUUUUCUGUGUCCAGCGCUUUGGACCACUCAUCCUACAAGACAGUAUAUCCUCCUUUAAGUCUCUGGAGAAUACUGAUUAUAUAUUGAAUGAAUUUUAAUAUUAAAAUUUCUAGCAUGAAAAUAUGUAGACCACAACAGGAAAUAAAUUCACAUGAUAAUUGUACAUUCAUAUUUAGAAAACUUGGAUAUUUUUAGACAAAAGUUAUAUAAGGAUUAUGAUGGUCAUCCGAUAGAGGAAGUGAUAUACAUGUAUGUUGACUUCUUGUCUGAGUGAAUGUACAUCAUCAGUUAAUUAAUCACAUGUGUGUAAUAAGUAUUGCAUGUAAUUAGGGGGUGGAAUGGGGGAUAAGUAUAAUGAACUCAUUGACCAAAGGAGGAAUGAAUGAAAACUAUCAUGAAGGGCAAUCAUAAAACUAAGGUACAUGUAAAACAAUUAUCUUUACUGGAGGUCUGCAAAAAACCACUUUUUUAAACAAUUCAAUUCCUUAGAAAGCAUAAACUUAAGCCAUGAAUCAAUUAUUCAAUGAUCCUUUAAUUUUGUCUUGGGUUUGACAAUAAGAAAAAAAAAUAUUGACCUAAAUUUUGCUCUUUGGGGGUCUAGCCAAAGUGCAUUAAUAUUUUACAAAAGUCAAUUUAGGCUAGCUUUGGAAUGUCUUUAUAAGUAUUCCUGGGUUUGGUGAUAUCUGGAUGUGGGAAGCCUUGCCCUGGAAGGUCCAAACUUGGCUUAUUUUCAUAUCAUGCUUUAAAGAUCGUAAGCCAAAUGUCAGGGAUUUGAAAAAUUCUCCUCUCUAAUGACAUGUAGUUCUUUGACCUUUUUGAAAUUUGUAACAUUAUAGACCAAAGGUCAAUCAAAGUUAAUGAUGUCAUUGUACAGUUGGUUCUAACUUCUUACUCAGGGAAGUAAUGACAUAACAAAUGUCUUUAACAUAAAUCACUGCAAUUACUAUAUAAUUUCAAACCAAUUUCCUACUAGUAAAACAGUUUGUUAUUGUUUGUGUCCUUAUACUUUACCAUAUUAAGAUAUUUAGAAAAAAAGUGUGUCUGUGUAACCUGUAAGAGCACCUUGUGUAAGUGGAGGUGUUUUAUACUAAUUACUGGUGAUGAAAAUGCUUUUUUCUGUAUAUUUUUAUAAUAUCCUCACUUACCAACUGAUUACUGAUGUAGAAGAAAGUAUGUGGUGCAUUAAACACAAACAGAUGGUUUUUUAUACGACCGCAAAUUUUGAAAAAAUUUUCGUCGUAUAUUGCUAUCACGUUGGCGUCUGCGUCGUCGUCGUCGUCGUCGUCGUCGUCGUCGUCGUCGUCGUCGUCGUCGUCGUCCGUCGUCCGAAUACUUUUAGUUUUCGCACUCUAACUUUAGUAAAAGUGAAUGGAAAUCUAUGAAAUUUUAACACAAGGUUUAUGACCACAAAAGGAAGGUUGGUAUUGAUUUUGGGAGUUUUGGUCCCAACAUUUUAGGAAUUAGGGGCCAAAAAGGGCCCAAAUAAGCAUUUUCUUGGUUUUCGCACAAUAACAUUAGUUUAAGUAAAUAGAAAUCAAUGAAAUUUAAACACAAUGUUAAUGACUACAAAAGGAAGGUUGGUAUUGAUUUUGGGAGUUUAGGUCCCAACAGUUUAGGAAUUAGGGGCCAAAAAGGGACCCAAAUAAGCAUUUUUCUUGGUUUUCGCACCAUAACAUUAGUAUAAGUAAAUAGAAAUCUAUGAAAUUUAAACACAAGGUUUAUGACCAUAAAAGAAAGGUUGGGUUUGAUUUUGGGAGUUUUGGUCCCAACAUAAUAAGGGGCCCAAAGGGUCCAAAAUUAAACUUUUGUUGAUUUCAUCAAAAUUGAAUAAUUGGGGUUCUUUGAUAUGCUGAAUCUAACUGUCAUGACUGUGUAUGUAGAUUCUUAACUUUUGGUCCCGUUUUCAAAUUGGUCUACAUUAAGGUCCAAAGGGUCCAAAAUUAAACUUUGUUUGAUUUUGACAAAAAAUGAAUCAGUUAGGUUCUUUGAUAUGCUGAAUCUAAAAAUGUACUUAGAUUCUUGAUUAUUGGCCCAGUUUUCAAGUUGGUCCAAAUCGGGGUCCAAAAUUAAAUUUUGUUUGAUUUCAUCAAAAAUUGAAUAAAUGGGGUUCUUUGAUAUUCCAAAUCUAACUGUGUAUGUAGAUUCUUCAUUUUUGGUCCUGUUUUCAAAUUGGUCUACACUAAAGUCCAAAGGGUCCAAAAUUAAACUUAGUCUGAUUUUAACAAAAAUUGAAAUCUUGAAGUUCUUUGAUAUGCUGAAUCCAAAAAUGUACUUAGAUUUUUUAUUAUGGGCCCAGUUUUCAAGUUGGUCCAAAUCAGGAUCUAAAAUUAUUAUAUUAAGUAUUGUGUAAUAGCAAGUCUUUUCAAUUGCACAGUAUUGCGCAAUGGCAAGAAAUAUCUAAUUGCACAAUAUUGUGAAAUAUCAAAUUUUUUUUUAAUUAGAGUUAUCUUUCUUUGUCCAGAAUAGUAAGCAAGAAAUAUCUAAUUGCAAAAUAUUGUGCAAUAGCAAGAUUUUUUUUUAAUUGGAGUUAUCUUUCUUUGUCCAGAAUCAACUUAAAUCUUUGUUAUAUACAAUAUACAAUGUAUAUUCACUUUUUACUACCAACUGAUAAAUUAAAAUAAUCUUUACCAUUCAGUGAUAACAAGCAGUUUUUUUACAUCUUAAUAUUUUAUGAUGUAUUUAAAUGAGUAGUUAUUGUUGCAAACUCCAUUAGAAAUUUUAAUUGAGAUUAGUUUUGGAAUAAGGGAAAGGGGGAUGUGAUUAAAAAAAUUGGGUUCAAUUUUUCUCAUUUGAAAUUUCAUAAAUAAAAAAGAAAAUUUCUUCAAACAUUUUUUUGAGAGGAUUAAUAUUCAACAGCAUAGUGAAUAGCUCUAAGAGAAACAAAAAUUUUAAGUUCAUUAGAACACAUUCAUUCUGUGUCAGAAACCUAUGCUGUGUCAACUAUUUAAUCACAAUCCAAAUUUAGAGCUGAAUCCAGCUUGAAUGUUGUGUCCAUACUUGCCCUAACCGUUCAGGGUUCAACCUCUGCGGUCGUAUAAAGCUUUGCCCUGCGGAGCAUCUGGUUGGUCCUGUUUUCAAAUUGGUCUACACUAAAGUCCAAAGGGUCCAAAAUUAAACUUAGUCUGAUUUUAACAAAAAUUGAAAUCUUGGGGUUCUUUGAUAUGCUGAAUCCAAAAAAGUACUUAGAUUUUUUAUUAUGGGCCCAGUUUUCAAGUUGGUCCAAAUCAGGAUCUAAAAUUAUUAUAUUAAGUAUUGUGCAAUAGCAAGUCUUUUCAAUUGCACAGUAUUGCGCAACGGCAAGAAAUAUCUAAUUGCACAAUAUUGUGAAAUAGCAAAUUUUUUUUUAAUUAGAGUUAUCUUUCUUUGUCCAGAAUAGUAAGCAAGAAAUAUCUAAUUGCAAAAUAUUGUGCAAUAGCAAGAUUUUUUUUUAAUUGGAGUUAUCUUUCUUUGUCCAGAAUCAACUUAAAUCUUUGUUAUAUACAAUAUACAAUGUAUAUUCACUUUUUACUACCAACUGAUAAAUUAAAAUAAUCUUUACCAUUCAGUGAUAACAAGCAGUUUUUUUACAUCUUAAUAUUUUAUGAUGUAUUUAAAUGAGUAGUUAUUGUUGCAAACUCCAUUAGAAAUUUUAAUUGAGAUUAGUUUUGGAAUAAGGGAAAGGGGGAUGUGAUUAAAAAAAUUGGGUUCAAUUUUUCUCAUUUGAAAUUUCAUAAAUAAAAAAGAAAAUUUCUUCAAACAUUUUUUUGAGAGGAUUAAUAUUCAACAGCAUAGUGAAUUGCUCUAAGAGAAAACAAAAAUUUUAAGUUCAUUAGAACACAUUCAUUCUGUGUCAGAAACCUAUGCUGUGUCAACUAUUUAAUCACAAUCCAAAUUUAGAGCUGAAUCCAGCUUGAAUGUUGUGUCCAUACUUUCCCCAACCGUUCAGGGUUCAACCUCUGCGGUCGUAUAAAGCUACGCCCUGCGGAGCAUCUGGUUACAUACUGACUUAUCUCACUGACCUUGAACAAUGGUUUGUAAGGUUGUGUAAGGAUACAACUUCAGGUUAUUUGUUUAACAGCAGUAGCAACAGUAAAGUCAACAAACAGAGUUAAUAUAUAUGUCUCCUCUAUGAGUCCUUAUGUUUUAUAGCUGUUGCUGUACUAAUACCUGCAGCUAGAAUCUGCUAGAGCGUACACAAUUUUGAUCAGUUCUAAUUUUAUGUCUGAUAGUCAUUCACGGGUGUUGCUUAUAGUAAGACCUAAGACUUUUCUUUGCCCAGUCCCUCUCAUGCCUUAUAGCUGUUGGCACCAAAAAAACUUAAUGCUAGAGGAGACAGACUUUCAGAUUAUAGGACCCCUUUCUACUGCUGAUAUGGGUAUUGUUUUCUCCAGUGUCCCCUUAUAUUUCACAAUACCAUACUUGAGAAUAUUACAUUUAUAAUUCAGUUUUUUGUCAUCUCCGUUUCUAAUCACAUUUACCAAUGCUUUAUAGAAUAUUUUCAGAUCUCCAAUACCUUCUGGGAUUAACUUAUGGAAAUGGCGUUUUUUCCCCUCAACUACUUGAAAUUGAAAUGCCUCAUUUGCAAUAAUUUGUAAAAUGAAUAGAAUAGAAUGAAAAGCUGUUGAAAUAAAUGAGUGGGUGAGGUAUUAUAUAACAACACUCAAAUGUAUAUUUUUUUUAUUCCCUGAACUUUAAACUGAAAUAGAUUUAACACCAUGAACAUAGUGUUUUAUAACCGUCCUGAAUACAAUAAAAGAUUAUAGAACAAGAAGAUGAAACUGAAAAUGAAAAAAUUUCUCAAAUUUGUGGAUUCUUUUGAGAACUUAACAGAUGAAGUAGAUACUCUCAGGUUGCCUUUAUUUAGUAAAACUAUAUGGUAAUAUUUUAUUUCAUUGUUUUAAUGGUUUCUUCCUUAUUCCAGACAUUCAAUAGUCUUCUAGACAAAUAAAGAUAUGUAGUAUAAAUUGAUUGUCUGAACUAUCCACUUGAGAUCAAAAGGACAGAGGACUUUUACAAGUAUAGGUCAUAUUACUGCCUGCAACAAUGAGCAAAACCCAUACAGAUAGUAAGCUUAAAACAAAACAGGAAGCACAAAAUUUGAAACAAGUAAAAAAAAGAAAAAAAAAACAAUGGCCAUAUUUAUCUUAAAACAUCAAAAGAAAGCUAAGAGAUCUGUAUUGCAAAUAAACAAAAAUGCUUUUCAAAAGACAAAAACACAAAGUUCUGAUCUAAGCAUACUCUCAGUUACUGAAUAUUUAAGUUCAAAGAAUACUAUAAAGCAAACCUUGUUUUUUUCAUUAAUUAAUAAACCACUCAACAUGUUCAAAUAUUAUCUAGUAUUUGAUAUAAGUGACAAGUAGCACUAAAAUACCUUUCUAGAUUACUUGUCAUGUAUGCUUGUCCCCAAACCAAGACUCGCACCUGACUUCCACAUGAAACAGUAGUGCAAAAUUUUUGAAUUAUUCCAUGUACAAAAAAUACAGUCCUGGUAUAAUAUAUAUUUAGGGUAGAAACUCAUAGACUUGCGUUCAUUGAAGAAUGCUUAUGAUAAGCAGUUAGUUUUAUCAGAGUAAUCUAAUGCUUUAAAAAUCUGAUAUAGGAAAUUAAAAACAAAUUAAUUAUUUUUUGAAACCAUUCAAUGUUUAUAGAUAUAUUUUUUCAUUAGCUGAGAGAUAUUACUCAGAGCAAAUAAUUCUGUCUGUUGGAGAGAAAAAAUAUUGAUUUUGCAUCUGUACACAAAAAACUAAUAAAUUUUCUCUUCUGGGUUUUAGAUUAAAAGUGAAUGAACUUCAUGUACUGAUAAUUAAUACCAUCAAGAUUAACUUAAGAUUACCUCAUUUUACUUUAAAACAAAAAAGCAUUUGUAAAUAUCAAUACAAGAAAGCCCCAUUUAGCUUGUUAAACCUUUCAGUCCAAACAUGUGAUUUGACUAUGAUGAUUUGGCAUUUAUAGACCUGUUUGCUACAAGGAAACAAUACUGGCUCCAUGGAGCCUCUAGUUUUGUCAGAAUAUUUGUCCUGAAUAUUCUGAUCUGUUUGUGGUAUUGUAUUACAAGUAUGUACUAUUAGAUAACAGGUUUCUAUUCAGUAACAUUUUAUUACUAACCCUUGGGUAUUGAACUCUUUUAUUCUAGCUUAAUUUGCCAUAUUUCUUUAUUCUUCCUGGUUGAGAACAGUUUGUUAACUAUGUAAAUUUAUCUGCAAAUAGUGACUUGGAUUUUUCUAGCAUUCCUUUGAGUCUAGAUAAUAAAUGACAGAACUAUUUCAGAAUUUAGUAGUCAUGUAUUAUUACCCUAAAGGCAAUUUCAUACAUAUUCUUUACAUUUGUGCCAUCCAAGAAAUUGUAGUCAUAUUCUUCUCCACAACUACAAAUGUGCAAAUCUGAGCUUCUUUAUUUUGAUAUUAAUUUUCAAGCUUUACUGUGUGAUUUGUUUUCUAAUUUAUCUAUGUUAUUUCUGUUUAUCAAUUAUCAUACAUAUGUAUGUUCUUUAUUAUUCUUCAGGUUUGCAGAAUACACAUGUAUGUUCUUCAUUGUUGUUUCUGUUUGCAGAAUACACAUGUAUGUUCUUCAUUGUUGUUUCUGUUUGCAGCAUACACAUGUAUGUUCUUCAUUGUUGUUUCUGUUUGCAGAAUACACAUGUAUGUUCUUCAUUGUUGUUCUGUUUGCAGAAUACACAUGUAUGUUCUUCAUUGUUGUUUCUGUUUACAGAAUACACAUGUAUGUUCUUCAUUGUUGUUUCUGUUUGCAGCAUACACAUGUAUGUUCUUCAUUGUUGUUUCUGUUUGCAGAAUACACAUGUAUGUUCUUCAUUGUUGUUUCUGUUUUGAGCAUACAUAUGUAUGUUUUUUAUUGCUCUACCUGUUUUCAGCAUACAUGUAUGUUCUUCAUUUUUAUACGACCGCAAAAAUUACAAAAAUUUGGUCAUAUAUUGGUAUCACGGCGGCGUCUGCGUCGUCGUAGUCGUCGUCAGCGUCAUCCGAAAACGGAUUGUUUCCAGAUAAUAACUUUUGAAAGAAAUCAAUAAAAUUUAAACACAAUGUUUAUAACCACAAAAGGAAGCUUGAGAUUGAUUAGUUUCAGGACAAAAAGUUGUGUAUUAGUAUUUCAAUUGUUCUGAAAUUGUAACAAAAUGUUUUAUACCAUAAGUAGAAGGUUGGGAUUUAUUUUAAGGGGUUAUUGGGAAAACAGUCUAGGAAUUAAGGGCCAAAAAGGGGCCAAAACAAGCAUUUUUCUAGUUUUAAGACAAUAACUUGUGUGUAACUGUAUGGAUCUCUCUGACAUUGUACCACAAGUUUCCAUAUAACACAGGGAAGGAUUCAGUUUGGGGUUAAUUUUCUCGAAUAUGUAGGAUAAAGGGGCCAAAAAAGAGCCAAUAAGAAGCAUUUUUAUACGACCCGCAAAAAUUGAAAAUUUUUUGGUCGUAUAUUGGUAUCACGUCGUCGUCGUCGUUGUCUGAAUACUUUUAGUUUUCGCACUCUAACUUUAGUAAAAGUGAAUAGAAAUCUAUGAAAUUUUAACACAAGGUUUAUGACCACAAACUUGCCCCAACCGUUCAGGGUUCAACCUCUGCGGUCGUAUAAAGCUGCGCCCUGCGGAGCAUCUGGUUCUACUUUACAGACAAUAACUUGUGUUUAAGUGUAUGGAUCUCUAUAAAUUUUUACAAGAAGGUUUAAUACCACUAAAGGAAGGUUGGGAUUGAUUUUGGGGGUUAUGGUCCCAAUAGUUUAGGAAUUAGGGGCCAAAUGGGGGCCCAAAAUAAUCAUUUUUGCAGUUUUCAAACAAUAACUUAUGUUUUAGUUUAUGAAUCUCUCUGAAAUUAAACCACAAGUUUCAAUACCAUGGAGGGAUGGUUAGUAUGGACGUUGGCGGUUAUGGCUCAAAACAUUUCGGAAUUAGGGGCAAAAAAGGGGAAAAACUAGGUAUUUCUGGUCAAUAGACAAUUAAGACAAUUUAAAAGCAGUGUAAGGGAGGUAAUUCUAAAACAUUUAACAUACAAUGUUGGGUAUGUUCGGAUUUACCUCCCUUACCCUUCUUUUAUAUUAUGUAUAUAGAAAUGUCAUGUUUUGGACUAAUUGCCAAAAAAGGGGGAGGGUAAUAAGGUGUUUUCAAUUUUUUAUGCCCCACCUACGAUAGUAGAGGGGCAUUAUGUUUUCUGGUCUGUGCGUCCGUUCGUUCGUUCGUCCGUCCGUCUGUUCGUUCGUUCGUUCGUCUGUUCGUUCAUCCGUCUGUCCCGCUUCAGGUUAAAGUUUUUGGUCAAGGUAGUUUUUGAUGAAGUUGAAGUCCAAUCAACUUGAAACUUAGUACACAUGUUCCUUAUGAUAUGAUCUUUCUAAUUUUUAAAGCCAAAUUAAACUUUUGACCCCAAUUUCACGGUCCACUGAACAUAGAAAAUGAAAGUGCAUGUUUCAGGUUAAAGUUUUUGGUCAAGGUAGUUUUUGAUGAAGUUGAAGUCCAAUCAACUUGAAACUUAGUACACAUGUUCCUUAUGAUAUGAUCUUUCUAAUUUUAAAGCCAAAUUAAACUUUUGACCCCAAUUUCACGGUCCACUGAACAUAGAAAAUGAAAGUGCAUGUUUCAGGUUAAAGUUUUUGGUCAAGGUAGUUUUUGAUGAAGUUGAAGUCCAAUCAACUUGAAACUUAGUACAAAUGUUCCCUUUGGUAUUAUCUUUCUAAUUUAAAGCCGAAUUAUAUUUUUUAUCCAAUUUCACGGUCCAUUGAACAUGGAAAAUGAUAGUGGGAGUGGGGCAUCCGUGUACUUUGGACACAUUCUUGUUUUUUUCAAAUUUCUCAAAUUCCAAAUUUUUGAAAAGUUAAAAGAAGUAAUCUUUAAUUAAACAAUAUUGUGCAAUAAAUUUGUAAGAUCUUGACAUUUGUUUUGUGUCAGAAACUCGUAUUAUGUCAAAAAUUUUAUCGCAAUCCAAAUUCAGAGCCGUAUCAAGCUUGAAUGUUGUGUCCAUACUUUGCAGCUUACACAUGUUUGUUCUUUAUUGUUCUACCUGUUUGAAGCAUACAUAUGUAUGUUCUUCAUUGUUCUAUCUGUUUGAAGCAUACAUAUGUAUGUUAUUCAUUGUUCUACCUGUUUGAAGCAAACAUAUGUAUCUUCUUCAUUGUUUUACCUGUUUUAAGCAUACACAUGUAUGUUUGUCAUUGUUCUUCCUGUUUGUAGCAUACAUAUGUAUGUUCUACCUAUUUGAAGCAUAUAUAUGUAUGUUCUUCAUUGUUCUACCUGUUUGAAGCAUACACAUGUAUGUUCUUUAUUAUACUUUUUUUGGACCAUUUUCCCCAGCAACUAUAAAAGCUCAUUGAUAUUCAGUACCAAGCUUCAUAUUGGUAACCUUUGCAGUUUGACAAGAUAAAUUUCUAUAUCAUCUUCCUGUAUGUUACAUAAUUGUAUACUCUUCAGUCUUCACAUUGAUGCACAUAUAAAAUGUUAAUGUUUUUCUCAGGAAGUCCAAGUCAGAGGCUUUUGUGUGCAUAUCCAUUGUUAGCAUUUACAUUGUAUGAUAUUGUAUUUUCUUUCACUUGAAAGUGAAGAAUAAGGAAGAGUAGUACUUCAUAUUACAACUUGAAUGGUUAAAGAAUAAACUGUCAGCUACAGACUGCUUAUUUAUAAAGUAGCUCUUAAGACUUAUUAUUCUACCAUUGAGUUCUCUCUCUUGCUUAUUGUAUAUUCUUUAUUAAGAAAAAAGUCAGCAUGGACCAAAUCUUGUGAUGGCCGAACAGAGUCUUGACCAGUGACCAAAUAAGAUAAUGACACGCAGUUAAAAGUACAUCCAAAAGAUACCAUUGAGACAUGUAUCAUCCAUGUUUGUUUUAAUGUUUAAACCUAAUUUAUGAGAAAUUUAAGAUUUAUUAUUAUCUUGGAAAAGUAGUGGAAGCAAAAUUGUAAUAUUUGUUAUUUUUAUUCUUGCAGGUAAUUAAUGGCUAAAGACCAGGUAAGUUUCUCAUAUUUAUCAUGUUUAUAACUUACUGUAUUUCAUUAUCAGAAAAAUCUAAAAAGUUCAAAGAUUUUAGUCAAAAUAUGUACUGAUAUAGAUAUAAAAGAUGAGGAAGCUUAUAUGAUUUACAACUAGACAUCUAUUAUUCAUGUUUGUUAUAAUGAUGUUAAUGGAACUUUUUGAGGAAGAAUUUUGAUUAAAAACGUAAGGACACAAACAUUUUGGGCAUAUUGCAACUUUUCAACAAUGAUGUCAGUUAUUUUGCACAUUGUAUCUUCUAGUACUGGUUAAUUUACCUUGAUUAAUAAAAAAAAAGGGAUUAAAAGAACAAAGUGUAGCUGUUUUAUAAUACAGGUGAAGGUACCAAAGAGGCAGUAAAACUCAUAAGUCAAAAAUAAACUGACAACACCAUGGCUAAAUAGAAAAAAGACAAACAGACAACAGUUUAAAGAACAAAAAGGAAGCAGAAAUAUAGAGGACAAACAAAAACCAUAAGUCAAAGAAAAAAAAGAACAUACAAUUAAAAACCAAUUGUUCAGAGAACAAUUGAAGGUCUUUCCACCAG
RNAcentral lists this long non-coding RNA (15027 nucleotides) under Mytilus galloprovincialis (Mediterranean mussel). Lineage: Eukaryota; Metazoa; Mollusca; Bivalvia; Mytilida; Mytilidae. The record is from RNAcentral.